AAUGGCUGACCAGCGGAACCCUAGCGGGGGCCAAAAUGCUUAUUCUAUUAACACCGAUAAGUUCAAAGUGCGGCUUAAGACACUGUACUCGCAUUGGAAUGAACAUAAGGAUGAAAUGUGGGGGUCUGCUGAUGCGAUAACAAUAGCUACGCCGCCACCUUCGGAUGAUUUGCGGUACCUGAAAUCGUCCGCCAUGAAUGUUUGGUUGCUGGGUUAUGAGUUUCCUGAGACUAUAAUGGUUUUUAUGAAGAAGCAGAUUCAUUUUUUGUGUAGCCAAAAGAAGGCUUCUUUGCUUGAAGUUGUGAGAACCCCUGCUCAUGAUGUUGCUGGGGGUAUAGACGUUGCUAUUCAUGUCAAGGCAAAGGGUGAUGAU
Molecule: unclassified non-coding RNA, 373 nt
Filed under: Hevea brasiliensis (rubber tree)
Lineage: Eukaryota; Viridiplantae; Streptophyta; Magnoliopsida; Malpighiales; Euphorbiaceae
Source: RNAcentral